This 4999-nucleotide long non-coding RNA is filed under the name Anas zonorhyncha (Eastern spot-billed duck). Its description in RNAcentral is "lncRNA (ENSAZOG00000012464.1)". The record is from RNAcentral. Lineage: Eukaryota; Metazoa; Chordata; Aves; Anseriformes; Anatidae.
AUGCUUUCCAUAAAACCAGACAGCGUCCAUGCCCUGUCCAACAAGGCGUUGCCAGUUGUACUGUACACAAAGCAGUUACAACACACCGUAGUUCACAUUGUGUUUUUCCUGUUGGUUUCACUCUUUCCUCAUAUGAAGCAAAAGAGAGUUUCCACGGAGCACAGACCCCAGGCUGUGUCCCAUACCAGGGCUGGGAUUCACCCACAAAUGUUCACUAGAUUUGCUUUCUACUCUGAAGAAGUGCCCAAGAACAGACAGAGGCAUAACAGUUCUGUACAUCUGGAAUUAAACCACGAUGUUUUCCACCCUGCUGUGCUCCCCAUCAACUGUUAUCUCCCUCAACAGCUGUAUUUGGAUAUUUAUAUAAUUGUCCUGUUGCAAAGGUAUCCCUGGGUUGUCUUCUCAAUCACAAUAGCUGGAACUUCAGCUGGAGAUGCAGCACUGUCAUGGGCAGACAAAUGAACACAAGACCCCACAUGACCAAGAAAAUAUAUGAUUGAGUACACCUUUAGCCUGCUGCAAGGUCAGUCCCUGCAGCCCAGGUAAGCAGAAGGCAGGCUGCACUGCUUGACACUCACCUUUGUGGUAGCUGAACUUAACACACUGUACUCCUGACAGCUCCCAGAAGGUAAUACGUAAGUUAAUAUGCCUUCAUCUUUUUUUAAAUGUAUUGGUAUAUUUUAUUAUUUAGUGUUCACUGCCCACUGCCAUCAAAUGGUUCCCAACUGACUGAACUGGACAGCUUUUAGAGCUCAGUCUCACAAAUCCUUGAGUGUAGCCAAAUGGGAGGAUGGGUUAAAACAGUUCCAUUAAGCUAAUGGAACAAUUGCAGCGUAUCAUUGUUGGCCUUGCAGAUCAUCAGUGGCCCAAGGACAAGAGACUAGGAAUUAAAUGCUGUAAAGUAUUUGGAAAGAAACAGACAAGAAAGAGCCUGAGCUGGGGCAGUCGAUAUCUCAGUUAUUCCUUACUGCAAGCAACGUAUAAACAGAAUUGUUCACUGCUACUCCGCAGAAAGGAGAUCUUAAAAGAGAAUAUAGCACAGUUGGAAGGGACCUUCAAAGAUCAUGUAGUCCAACCACCACAGGGCUAACCAAAAGCUAAAGCAGAUUCAUGAGGGCGUUGUCCAAAUGCCUGUUGAACACUGACAGGCAUGGGAUCUGGACACAAUGAACUUUUAAUUUGUAAAACACAAAGGAGAAACUCUCCCUCUCUCUCAUUCCUUCAAUUGAACUGGAUUUAUCUCUACAAAAAAUAAUGACUACUUCUUAGUGGACUUCACAGUCGGUGAGAAAAGAGAUAUUCAGUUUGCUCUGCUCCUUUAAACUGUCUCUAAGUUAUUCACUCUGCCUGCAAGUACAAAAGAGGUGGUUGCACACAAAGUACAGAGGCCACCUUCAGUCUUAUAUCCUGUUGUUGAUGAGAAGAUUUUAAGAACGAAAACAGGAGUCACCACAUUAUUUUCAACAGGUAACAGAAAUUUUUAAAACAAGAGAAUAGAUGGAUUCUUCCUGGCUUUAAAUGGAAAUGAAGGAAUUCCCUCACCCCAUGCUCUCCCCUUCCCAUCUCCUACACAAUCAAAUUACAGGUCUUCUGUUUCUCAAAUGAGGACAGACCUGCACAAUCAGGAGUUCUUGCCAAACUCCUGCAUUUCUUGAGAAACAGCUCUGAGAUAUUUCCCAUACUUCUGGCAGGAUCAGAGCAAAGCUUUGUUAACCAUGGGAUGAAACAUGCUUAUAACGUAACACCUGAAUUCCUGAAACAUGGGAUAAAGAGCACAGAAGAAUAGGCAGUAUUGAAUCCCUAAAAACACUGCUCUAGCUUUCAACUCUUCGUGACUGUAUUUAGUUGUACCCUGACAGAUUUUUCUUCCAUUUUCCCCCAGCUCUUUAAAUCCACACAAUCUUUUAGCAUUCACAGAUUCUGUUGCAAGGAGUUCCUCAGCCUUCUCACACAGUAUAUAGUCAGUCCCAUCCACUACCUCGCAGUAUAUUUGAUGCACCUGGUUCCUAAAGUAUAAGAGAGAGCAAACAAUAACUCUAUUUUCUUUAUACCACCCAUAAGCCUUGGACAAACACUCCCUUAGCCAUUUCUUCUCCACAGUGAAGACUCAUGUUCUGAAUACCUUACCUUUAUCUUUAAAUACUUUACUUCCCAGGCUUUGGGGACAGUAUCUUUUUUCCACAACAAAGACCAAAUCAGUUUCCUAAACGAGGCAGUAUAAAUGUCAAACCCUGAGCUCCAUGGCAAAUGUCUGCAACCAUUCUUCUGCACAGGGAGAAUGAACAGCUUGGUUUCUAAAGCAGAUAUUCAAAGUUACCCCAGUUGACUGGAAGCUGAUAAUAUAUAGGGAAUACACUUGAGACUUUUUCCACAUACUGAGUUUAUUCUUGGCUAGCUACCCAGUUUAUCUUUACAUUAGAACCUGGACUUUAAAGCUUGCAUUAUGUAUGAGAAUCCAGAUAAGCUUACAGCAUUAAUUAUUCCACACAAAAGAAAACCUGGCAUUUAGAAUUCAACGCAUCAUUUACAUAAUAAUAAUAACUACAAAUCCCUCUCUUUCAAUAAAUUUGGGCAUGACGACUGCAUCGCUUUGCCAUUUUGACUCCUCACUCUUAAGUUACAGCUUCACAGGUGUGCUCCUAUUAACUGCAACAGUUACGAAAACUCAUUUUAUCACAUGAACUUUUGACUGGGAUCCAUUACAGUGUCCUUCUGCCUCUCCCACUGCAUCUAGAAUAUCAUGGUUUCAAAAUUCAGGAUGCUUUGUAAAAGCAAUUUAUCUGCCAAGGGCAUGCCUGGGCUUUUAAGCUUCUCACUUUACCAUGAGACAUCUUCUGGAACUUUUGUCUGAGGAGUUAAAAGAAAUUAACACAGAGGAGAGGGCUUUUUAGUGUUGUCAGCAAACACAUUCAUGUACACUUAAGCAGCAAGGUGUUGAACAGGGAACGUGUUGAUUAUGUCACUACUUUAAUGAUAGUGCUGUAAGAUCAUGCUUUUGUGCUAAGUAAUGCGCAAAGCAACCUUGGCAUUCCUUUAGACAGCUGAUAAUUUAAGUACAUUUAGAUGAGCAGACAGUGAGGUGGACUGAGAACUGGCUGGAUGGCAGAGCUCAGAGGGUUGUGUGAGAGUGUCCACAGUCUAGCUGGAGGCCUGUAGCUGUGUCCCCCAGGGGUCUGUGCUGGGUCCGGUCCUAUCCAACUUACCCACCAGUGAACCAGAUGAACGGACAAGGAUGCACUCUCAGCAUGUUUGCUGCUGAUACAAAAGCAGGAAGAGUGGCUGAUUCACCACAAUGCUGCAUUGCUAUUCAGAGGGACCUGGCCAGGCUGGAGAGUUUGGCAGAGAGGAUCCUCCUGAGGUUCAACAAAAGCUAGUGCAGGGUCCUGCACCUGAGAGGAAUAACCCCACACACUAGUACAGGUUGGGGGAUGACCUGCUGGAAAGCAGCUCUGCAGGAAAAAAACUGGGAGUCCUGGUGGACAGCGGGUAAACCAUGAGACAGCAAUGUCCCCUUGUGGCCAAGAAGGCCAAUGGUAUCCUGGGGUGCAUUAGGAAAAGUGUUGCCAGCAGGUUGAGAGGUGAUCCUCCCACUCUGCAAAGGCCUGGGGAGGCCACACCUGGAGUAUUGUGUCCAGUUCUGGGUUCCCCAGUACAAGAGGGACAUGGAGCUUCUGGAGACAGUCCAGCAGAGGGCUGUGAAGAUGAUUAGGGGACUGAAGCAUCUCUCAUAUGAGGAAAGGCUGAGAAAACUGGGCCUCAUUAGCCUGGAGAAGAGAAGACUGAGAGGGGAUCUCAUCAAUGCAUAUAAAUUUCUUAGGGAAGGGUGUCAAGAUGAUGGGGCCAGGCUCUUUGGUGGUGCCCAGAGGUAAGCAACAGGCACAAACUGAAACACAGGAAGGUCCACCUGAAUAUGGGGAAACACUUCUGUACUGUGAGAGUGACAGAACACUGGAAGGGGUUGCUCAGAGAGGUUGUGGAGUCUGCUCCCUUGGAGAUAUUAAAAAACCCACCUGGACGUGAUCCUGUGCAACAUGCUCUAGGUGACCCUGCUUGAGCAGGGGGGGUGGACUAGAUGGUCUCCAGAGGUCCCUUCUGACCAUAGUGAUUCAAAACCAGAUAACAGACACAUGGGGUGAGCAUUAGUCAAGAUCAAUACAAUGAGCAGAGACUAGACACUCACAGCCUAUUUUAACAGCCUCACAAGUGACAUUUAAAGGCCCAUUUUGAACAAAUGUCCAGAGCAAUGAAAUGUCUAGGGAGGAUGAGAAGCCCUUCCUACUGUUAGAAUCAAAAGGAAGAGAAAGGAGGAGAGGCCCUGUGACUUGGUGAGGAAAAAGUCCUGUCAUUCUGGCUUACUGUGCCUGUAGUAACAAUGGAGCAAUAUUUAGCAGCAGGAAAUGAUUAAAAGGAAAAUCAAGGUACAGUCAUAUUUAGUGGUAUACUCAGUGGUAGCAGAAGUGAAAGGCACACCAGAGAGCAAGAUAGAGGCAGGUGGAGCCUAUGAGCAGACAUGAACAGUAACCAGAAAAAGCCCUUAACAAAAUAAGCUAACUUAGGCAAGCUAAAAAAGGAAAAAAGGGCAGUGCCAUGAAGCAGUAAAUUCCAGGAACUGUCACAAUCUCACAAAUACCCCACUUUUGUUCUGGCAGAGAGAAAAGGCCAGCCAAGUUACAAGGUGCAGCCCUCUGAAUAGAGUGCUCCCUGCUAGGCUGUCUGCUCCAUCAGUGCAUUGCUCCCCCGAUCAGCCUGCAGUCACGGCCACCGUUCAUUAAGAUGGAACACAGACUGCUCAUCCAGCAGCCUCAUCGGGGCUGCACUCCCAUAUUAAAAUGCAAUGAAAGCCACUAAUAAAGCCAUCCGCUGAGCAAUGUCUCAACAUGCCGUUGCAGCCUACUGAGCUGGUUUAUUGUUACAGAACAGAAGACACGAAGAUCUCAGAAGCACACCUACCCCACAGCUCCACUGAAACGAGCUAACCCAGUACAUUCAUACCUACAAA